Long non-coding RNA from Hydractinia symbiolongicarpus, 1181 nucleotides. RefSeq lists it as uncharacterized. Lineage: Eukaryota; Metazoa; Cnidaria; Hydrozoa; Anthoathecata; Hydractiniidae. The record is from RefSeq and is a predicted model, not a curated record. The transcript has 2 exons.
CUGAAAAAUUAAAAUUUGACAUAAAUAAUCAAAUCAAAUUUCCACAGCGUAUCAACUUAAUAAUACAUAAUUAAAAUACAUGUUAUACAUGUGAAAUAUUAAUUUCUAAAGAAUCAAAAAUAACGUUCAAUUUGUAGCUUCCAUACAACUGAAAUGAAUAUUAGAUUUUACUUGUUAAAAACUUUGUUAUGAGAGGAUGGCAGUAUGUGAAAAGAUUAUCCAUAAAGAAAAAGUUGAAAUAUUAUUAAGUUUGUGUUUGGAAAAUAUUAAUUGCUAGGUUGUGCUUGCUAGAUCUAUACUAUUAUUAACGCGAUAUAUUUAAAAAAACUUGGAAGACAUCAUCACUGUCAGGUUGGGUUCCAACUUGAACAAAACUGCUCGAUUCUAUCGACGUCCAUUGAUGGAAAAGUAGGAUCGCUUCCUAAUAUUGUCGAUUAACGUUGAUUCAAUCAUUUUAAUUUAAGUGGAAACUUUAUAUCCUAUUUUUUAAAAAAUUAAGGGAACUGUGGGGUCUUUUUUUGGUCCAAUUAACAUCGUGUAUUGACAACAGACGCAAAUAGCUUACCCGGAUGAUAUGCAUAUGGAGAUAAAGAUUUAUCAAAGCACGUUAGUGUGAUAGUUGUCUACUCAAACAUUCUUACCAAUGGUUAUCUAUAAAUUCAAGCUAUUUGGAUAAACGAGUGUCUUUAACGUCAUUGUCACGCAUAGUGCAACGAGUUUAAAUAUUAGAAAAGAUCGAAAGUAGUUAAUAAAUACUCAAUAAGAAAAAGAAAAGACAACACAAAACAAAGUCGUAGAUAAAAUAGACAGACCAAUAAAACGAAAACGAAAAAGAAGAAGUUGACAAAGAAAACACAAAAGUGAAAGAGAGUAAAGAAAGUGCAUAUUAUAGUACUACCAACAAAGGAACAGAACAUAUUACACAGGAUCCGUAGAAAAUGUUUGGAAAUCGUGCUUAUAAAGAUUGUUUAGGGUCGAUCACACGUGACCCUACCAGUUUUUUAGUGUUUGGGGCGGUAGUGUUGUGUGUUAUAACGCCAGUGUUAAUACUGAGUGAAAUUAUGUGUCUACCGAUGUGCUUUUGGUGUGCUCCAUAGCGGAUGGAAAAGAUAAGACAAUUAUUUAUUUAUUUUAAAGUAGUAAUAACCAUUUGUUAUAUUAUGAAAAAAUGUUUAUAAUAA